CAGUGUCUGGGAUGUGCGUUGUCCUCGAAAAUUUACCACUGUUUGCGAUAAGGGAGAACUUAUUUUCGAGUGGCUGUGAUGCCGCCUCGUUGCGGAACGCAAAGGCUCGGAAGCGUCCACCCACCUGUUGAGGUGUGGUGAAGUUUUUCUGGAUAACGGCAUCCCGGAUUUUAU
Molecule: non-coding RNA, 174 nt
Filed under: Bacillota bacterium
Lineage: Bacteria; Bacillati; Bacillota
Description: 6S RNA
Rfam family: 6S / SsrS RNA
About the family: E. coli 6S RNA was the first non coding RNA to be sequenced, but its function was unknown until recently.
Source: RNAcentral